This 275-nucleotide ribosomal RNA is filed under the name Owenia fusiformis. RNAcentral's name for it is "partial large subunit ribosomal RNA". It matches the Rfam family "Eukaryotic large subunit ribosomal RNA", at positions 25 to 292 of the family's 3401-position model. The record is from RNAcentral. Lineage: Eukaryota; Metazoa; Annelida; Polychaeta; Sabellida; Oweniidae.
CCGCUGAAUUUAAGCAUAUCACUAAGCGGAGGAAAAGAAACUAACAAGGAUUCCCUCAGUAACGGCGAGUGAAGCGGGAAGAGCCCAGCACCGAAUCGCCCGGCCUCUGGUCGGCGCGAACUGUGGUGUUCAGGACAGCCUCUGAGGCGGCGUACGGGUGUCCGAGUCCUUCAGAACGGGGCUUUACCCAUGGCGGGUGAUAGGCCUCUACCGGCCCCCGUCGCCGUCCCUUUGAGCGUCCUCGGAGUCGGGUUGUUUGUGAAUGCAGCCCAAAG